AAGGUCGUAACAAGGUUUCCGUAGGUGAGCCUGCGGAAGGAUCAUUACCUUUCUGGCUAUUUAAUAGCUUGUCUGGGGGACUGCAGUUUCUGCAGUCUCUGACUACAUCCGUGUUUUUUUCGCGUUACUACAUGUUUCCUCGGCGGGCCUUGGCUUGCCGGUUGGUACAAACUAAAAUCUCUUUGCAAUUGCAAUCAGCGUCUGAAUUAUAUAAUAAUUACAA
Molecule: unclassified non-coding RNA, 223 nt
Filed under: plant metagenome
Description: partial contains small subunit ribosomal RNA and internal transcribed spacer 1
Rfam family: Eukaryotic small subunit ribosomal RNA (bases 1-47)
Source: RNAcentral